RNAcentral lists this ribosomal RNA (429 nucleotides) under uncultured bacterium. RNAcentral's name for it is "bacterial SSU rRNA". It matches the Rfam family "Bacterial small subunit ribosomal RNA", at positions 28 to 496 of the family's 1533-position model. The record is from RNAcentral.
GAUAAACGCUGGCGGCGUGCCUAACACAUGCAAGUCGAUCGCCCUUACGCAAGUAAGGGAGUGGCGGACGGGUGAGGAACACGUGGGUGAUCUGCCUUGAGGUGAGGAAUACCGGCGAGAAAUCGCCGACAAUACCGCAUACGUUCGCAAGAACAAAGUCGCAAGACGCCUUGAGAUGAGCCUGCGUCCGAUUAGCUAGUUGGUGGGGUAAAAGCCUACCAAGGCAGCGAUCGGUAGCUGGUCUGAGAGGACGAUCAGCCACACUGGGAUUGAGAACGGCCCAGACUCCUACGGGGGGCAGCAGUGAGGAAUUUUCGUCAAUGGCCGAAAGGCUGAACGAGCAACGCCGCGUGCAGGAAGAAGGUCUUCGGAUCGUAAACUGCUUUUCUGGGGGAAGAGCAUGGACGGUACCCCAGGAAGAAGCCCCGG